This 420-nucleotide unclassified non-coding RNA is filed under the name Hevea brasiliensis (rubber tree). The record is from RNAcentral. Lineage: Eukaryota; Viridiplantae; Streptophyta; Magnoliopsida; Malpighiales; Euphorbiaceae.
AGUGGAUACCCAAAGAAUAAAGCAAAUUAUCAACGAAGCCGACUGAAUUACAUAUGUGCAGCUACAUCACAGAACUCAACAUUGUGGAGGCAGUGUGUAUGGUACGAAAGGGUGUAGCCAUUUGCUAGGUAAGGCAAAGUGGAAGUAAAAGCGGGCAACGUUAGUGUGUUCUGCUAUUUUAGUGGCAAAUAGAGAGUGGCUUUGGCGGUGGGUGAGACAAGGAAAGAAGAAAAAGGAGGAAGAGUAGCAUGAAACUGAGAUGAGGUUAAGACUUGGGAGUCCGAGUCUGGCUCCAGAGCGUUAUGAAAUUGAGACUCUCAAGUCUUUAAGAAAAGCGACGUGGCGCGAAUAAAUAAAGAAACAAAUAAAUAAAGCCACCAACUCUAGGCCAAAAAGCAAUAUUCUUAUAUUGGAGUUCGG